GUCAACGACCCCACGCGUAGAACGCGGGGGCUUGCUCCCGUGGUUGACGUUGGUCCCGUUGUCCAGCCUGAGAUGCUGAUCCCGCAGGCCGGGAGAAGAAGCAUCUACGUUCGGAAGAUCAUGGCACUCAGGGAUGCCACCUCAGUCCCUGGCUCUGCCGUUGGUGGUUAAAAGCCCGUCGGGGUGUCGGGCGGUGCGCCAACAGACAAGUCUUCUGCAACUGUGGCGAGAGGGGUCAUCU
Molecule: non-coding RNA, 241 nt
Organism: Ktedonobacter racemifer DSM 44963
Lineage: Bacteria; Bacillati; Chloroflexota; Ktedonobacteria; Ktedonobacterales; Ktedonobacteraceae
Rfam family: HNH endonuclease-associated RNA and ORF (HEARO) RNA
Source: Rfam